CGAACGCUGGCGGCGCGUCUUAAGCAUGCAAGUCGAACGGCAAGGCAGGUGCUUGCACCUGCCCUAGAGUGGCGGACUGGUGAGUAACACGUGGGUGACAUGCCUUUAGUUGGGGAUAGCUACUAGAAAUAGUAAGAUAAUACCGAAUGUGAUCAAUAUUUAUAGAUGAUGUUGAGGAAAGGAGCUAAGGCUUCGCUAAAAGAUUGGCCCGCGGCCCAUUAGCUAGUUGGUAGGGUAAAGGCUUACCAAGGCGAUGAUGGGUAUCCGGCCUGAGAGGGUGAUCGGACACAUUGGGACUGAGAUACGGCCCAGACUCCUACGGGAGGCAGCAGCUAAGAAUAUUCCACAAUGGACGAAAGUCUGAUGGAGCGACGCCGCGUGGAUGAUGAAAGGCCGAAAGGUUGUAAAAUCCUUUUACACUGGAGGAAUAAGCAGAGUAGGGAAUGACUCUGUGAUGACUGUACAGUUUGAAUAAGCAACGGCUAAUUACGUGCCAGCCGCGGC
Molecule: ribosomal RNA, 504 nt
Filed under: uncultured bacterium
Lineage: Bacteria
Description: bacterial SSU rRNA
Rfam family: Bacterial small subunit ribosomal RNA
Source: RNAcentral